Molecule: long non-coding RNA, 1599 nt
Organism: Zingiber officinale
Lineage: Eukaryota; Viridiplantae; Streptophyta; Magnoliopsida; Zingiberales; Zingiberaceae
Exons: 2
Source: RefSeq, a predicted model, not a curated record
UGAUUUGAAUUUUGAUUCACUCGUUUGUUUGAGAAGGGCAUUCUCUACCAAUUUGGGUUGAGUUUGAUUGAAGUCAGACUGCAAUUUACUUUUGGUGAAAAAAAUUAUGUUUUGGACUUAUAUGAUAGCUAACUGGGGGUCUCUCUUUUCUUUAUUCAGCUCGAAUCAUGUAGAAGGCUCGAUGAAUAAGACAUUGAAGAUGGACAAAGACGAUCUGGAAAGGUAUGACAUGCAGCCGACCGACUCUAUAGGAGAUGUUCCACCUAGCGACGUAGCUGCUAGCGAAGUGACAAGCAGCGACACAACGGCUAGUACGGGAAAGUUUCCACCGCCACAGCCUUCGAUGAAGCCCGUCUAAGUAUCUUCGAAGGAGUUGGGAGAAUCAUUGAGGAUUUCUUGAAAGAGACACAGACCAACAACUCCAACCGAGCACACUUCUCUGACUCUAGUUCUAGAGCCCUCACUACCUAUUCAAGCGAACUCUCCAACGGUUGCACAAGGCGAACAAAUGGAGGGAGUCGAGCGCUCUAGUGAUUGAUCCCCCUCAAUCUCCUGAAUGGCCAAUCUAAGAUCUUCUUGCUCCCUAAGAGCUCCAACCUCGCCGUCUGUUUCCCUAGGUCCCCCGUCUCGAGGUAGGCAGCCAACCACUUCUCAAGGGCAAGAUACUCUUCCCAAGACCCGACACACCAUAAGGCUGACUGACAAUUUGUCAAGAACCUAGAGCCAUGUCAUUGAGAGAUCGAAGCGUCGGUCCUGGCAUGGUCUGGUGUAUGCCUACACUCAAGAUCUUACCUGGCAUGGACUGUAGGCAUGGAUCUAUGCCUCUGAGUUAACGAUUUUUUUUUCCACCUACCGAACCAUGGAGGCGCGCUUGACUGAGUUGGAGGCUCAACAAGCCCCACUGAGCCAGGAGUUGGAAGGGCUCAGGCUAAAGUCACAAAUUUAAAAACAGAGGCCUUAGCUCGAGAGGGGCAGUUGGGCCAAGCGAGUAGGGACUUGGACGUAGCAAAGUGGGAGGCAAUAACCCAAAUAGAAUUCCUGGAGAAGCAAAAGUCCGAUCUCCAAGUCAGCCUGAAGACAACUAAGUCGAGGCUUUCUUUAGAGCAAAAAAGGAGGCAACGAAUGCUAGCAGAUCUACAUAAGAAGGCUAUUGAAGCCUAAGCUCUUACUGUCGACUUGGGAAAGAAAGCUAAGAAUCAUAAGACAGAGCUGGUAAGGAAAAUGAUCGAACUAGUGGCCAAAGAUGCACAGGUUCAUAAUAGAGAGACUGAGUUAAGGCCUUAAAGGUUGAACUAGAGAAAUUCAAAGCAAGAGAAGCCAAGCACUGAGAGGCCAAAAUAGUUGAAUAUCUAUGGUCGGUGGAAUUUUGUGACCUUCUCUACGAGUGAACUAUGAAAAUAUUCUCCUAUGGAGCUGAAGGGACCAUAAAAUAACUCUACGAGAUAGGGCACCUGACAACCGAGCUCCUAGAAGAUUUUAUAAGUCUGCAGAAGAUUUACACAGAUGUUCUGAUGAUGCCUUUCCUGAUUUUACACAGACUUUUGUAAUGCUCUUGUGCUCCCUUAUCAAUUUCAGUGAAAUAUCCGCUUUCGCUUCCAA